RNAcentral lists this ribosomal RNA (373 nucleotides) under uncultured bacterium. Its description in RNAcentral is "bacterial SSU rRNA". It matches the Rfam family "Bacterial small subunit ribosomal RNA", at positions 527 to 896 of the family's 1533-position model. The record is from RNAcentral.
AGASMCCYCAAGCGUUACCCGGAUUUAUUGGGCGUAAAGGGUGUGUAGGUGGUUUGGUAAGUUUGGAGUUAAAACCUGUCGGCUUAACCUUCAGGAUGCUCUGAAUACUGCCAGACUAAGAGGGCGUUAGAGGCAAACGGAACCGACCAAGUAGGGGUGAAAUCCGUUGAUAUGGUCGGGAACACCAAAAGCGAAGGCAGUUUGCUGGGGCGGCCCUGACACUGAAACACGAAAGCGUGGGGAGCAAAAAGGAUUAGAUACUCUUGUAGUCCACGCCGUAAACGAUGAUCACUGGUUAUUAGCAGUGUCGACCCUGCUAGUGGCGAAGCUAACGCGUUAAGUGAUCCGCCUGGGAAGUACGAACGCAAGUUUA